Molecule: ribosomal RNA, 641 nt
Filed under: uncultured bacterium
Lineage: Bacteria
Description: bacterial SSU rRNA
Rfam family: Bacterial small subunit ribosomal RNA
Source: RNAcentral
AGUCGAACGAGAAGGUGUAGCAAUACACUUGUAAAGUGGCGAACGGGUGAGGAAUACAUGGGUGACCUACCCUCGAGUGGGGAAUAACCAGCCGAAAGGUUGGCUAAUACCGCAUACGAUUCCCGGUUUGCGGAUCGGGAAGGAAAGCGAUGCUGUGGGUAUCGCGCUCAAGGAUGGGCUCAUGUCCUAUCAGCUUGUUGGUGAGGUAACGGCUCACCAAGGCUUCGACGGGUAGCUGGUCUGAGAGGACGAUCAGCCACACUGGCACUGCGACACGGGCCAGACUCCUACGGGAGGCAGCAGUAAGGAAUAUUGCGCAAUGGGCGAAAGCCUGACGCAGCGACGCCGCGUGGGGGAUGAAGGUCUUCGGAUUGUAAACCCCUUUCGGGCGGGAAGAUGGAAUGGGUAACCAUUCGGACGGUACCUCCAGAAGCAGCCACGGCUAACUUCGUGCCAGCAGCCGCGGUAAUACGAAGGUGGCAAGCGUUGUUCGGAUUCACUGGGCGUACAGGGAGCGUAGGCGGUUGGGUAAGCCCUCCGUGAAAUCUCCGGGCCCAACCCGGAAAGUGCAGAGGGGACUGCUCGGCUAGAGGACGGGAGAGGAGCGCGGAAUUCCCGGUGUAGCGGUGAAAUGCGUAGAG